UACAGAGGUCUCAAGCGUUGUUCGGAUUCAUUGGGCGUAAAGGGUGCGUAGGUGGCGCGGUAAGUCGGGUGUGAAAUUUCGGAGCUUAACUCCGAAACUGCAUUCGAUACUGCCGUGCUUGAGGACUGGAGAGGAGACUGGAAUUUACGGUGUAGCGGUGAAAUGCAUAGAUAUCGUAAGGAAGACCAGUGGCGAAGGCGGGUCUCUGGACAGUUCCUGACGCUGAGGCACGAAGGUCAGGGGAGCAAACGGG
This 253-nucleotide ribosomal RNA is filed under the name uncultured bacterium. RNAcentral describes it as "partial 16S ribosomal RNA". It matches the Rfam family "Bacterial small subunit ribosomal RNA", at positions 524 to 776 of the family's 1533-position model. The record is from RNAcentral.